Molecule: ribosomal RNA, 327 nt
Filed under: uncultured eukaryote
Lineage: Eukaryota
Description: partial 18S ribosomal RNA
Rfam family: Eukaryotic small subunit ribosomal RNA
Source: RNAcentral
CCCUUAGAUGUUCUGGGCCGCACGCGCGCUACACUGACGAAUGCAACGAGCUUAUAACCUUGGCCGAAAGGUCUGGGUAAUCUCCAAAUUUCGUCGUGAUGGGGAUAGAUUAUUGCAAUUAUUAAUCUUCAACGAGGAAUGCCUAGUAAGCGCAAGUCAUCAGCUUGCGUUGAUUACGUCCCUGCCCUUUGUACACACCGCCCGUCGCUCCUACCGAUUGAAUGGUCCGGUGAAGCGUUCGGACCGUGGCCUUUGGACGGUUCGCCGUCUGUUGGCUGCGGGAAGUUCGUUAAACCUUAUCAUUUAGAGGAAGGAGAAGUUGUAACA